RNAcentral lists this ribosomal RNA (253 nucleotides) under uncultured bacterium. RNAcentral's name for it is "partial 16S ribosomal RNA". It matches the Rfam family "Bacterial small subunit ribosomal RNA", at positions 524 to 776 of the family's 1533-position model. The record is from RNAcentral.
CACGUAGGGGGCAAGCGUUGUCCGGAUUUAUUGGGCGUAAAGAGCGUGUAGGCGGCUAGAUAGGUCCGUUGUGAAAACUCGAGGCUCAACCUCGAGACGUCGAUGGAAACCAUCUGGCUAGAGUCCGGAAGAAGAGAGUGGAAUUCCUGGUGUAGCGGUGAAAUGCGCAGAUAUCAGGAAGAACACCCGUGGCGAAGGCGGCUCUCUGGUACGUGACUGACGCUGAGACGCGAAAGCGUGGGGAGCAAACAGG